Molecule: ribosomal RNA, 274 nt
Filed under: uncultured bacterium
Lineage: Bacteria
Description: partial 16S ribosomal RNA
Rfam family: Archaeal small subunit ribosomal RNA
Source: RNAcentral
AAACCAGCACCUCAAGUGGUCAGGAGGUUUAUUGGGCCUAAAGCAUCCGUAGCCUGAUCUAUAAGUUUCCGGUUAAAUCCAAAUGCUCAACAUUUGGGCUGCCGGAAAAACUGUAGAUCUAGGGAGUGGGAGAGGUAGACGGUACUCGGUAGGAAGGGGUAAAAUCCUUUGAUCUAUUGAUGACCACCAGUGGCGAAGGCGGUCUACCAGAACACGUUCGACGGUGAGGGAUGAAAGCUGGGGGAGCAAACCGGAUUAGAAACCCGGGUAGUCC